UACGUACUCCAGAUUUGUUUU
This 21-nucleotide non-coding RNA is filed under the name Caenorhabditis elegans. The record is from RNAcentral. Lineage: Eukaryota; Metazoa; Nematoda; Chromadorea; Rhabditida; Rhabditidae.